AUGAGAUUAGUGCAAGGCCUUCUUCAUGUGUCAGCCUUAGAUGGUUUUUGUUCUCUUGUUCUUUCUUGAGCAGAGUUGAAAAAAGAAAUAGACAACAGCUUCAGGAUGAAAGCCUUGUUUUUGGAAGUCACUUGAUAUAUCCUUAAUUGCCUUUUCCACAUAAGCUGAUAUCAUAUUGGCUUACAUCUACUUAUUAAUUCUAUGGACCGAAGCUGUCUGCUGGCUUCCCUAUCCACUAUCAGGGCAGAUAGAAUUCCCCAGAGUCCUGCUGCAAGCAUAGAAGAGCCUCCCCCUGACUAGGGCCCUGUCCCAAGCCCUGCAGCUCGCAGGAAGAACCCCUCCUGCGCUUGUUCACAUCAUGCUUUUCCAGCCCAUCUUGGGUGGAGCUUGAAGGAAUCAUGUUAAGUGAGAUAAGUCAGAAACAAAAGAAUGAAUAUGGGAUGAUCUCAGUCACAGGAAGAAGUUGAAAAACAAGAUCAGAAGAGAAAACACUAAGCAGAGCUUGGCCUGGAGUUGGUGUACUGCACCAAAUUAAAAGACUCUGGGGUGAUUGGAGGGGGAGAGUUCAGGUCAUGGAACUUGAUGGCAGAGGACC
This is a long non-coding RNA of Erinaceus europaeus (western European hedgehog), 595 nucleotides long. RefSeq lists it as uncharacterized. Lineage: Eukaryota; Metazoa; Chordata; Mammalia; Eulipotyphla; Erinaceidae. The transcript has 3 exons. The record is from RefSeq and is a predicted model, not a curated record.